This 1474-nucleotide ribosomal RNA is filed under the name metagenome. RNAcentral's name for it is "bacterial SSU rRNA". It matches the Rfam family "Bacterial small subunit ribosomal RNA". The record is from RNAcentral.
AGAGUUUGAUCCUGGCUCAGGACGAACGCUGGCGGCGUGCCUAACACAUGCAAGUCGAACGGACGAGGCCCCUUCGGGGACCGAGUUAGUGGCGGACGGGUGAGUAACGCGUGAGCAACCUGCCUUUCAGAGGGGGACAACAGUUGGAAACGACUGCUAAUACCGCAUGAUGCAGCGAGAUCGCAUGGUCUUGCUGUCAAAGAUUUAUCGCUGAAAGAUGGGCUCGCGUCUGAUUAGCUAGUUGGAGGGGUAACGGCCCACCAAGGCGACGAUCAGUAGCCGGACUGAGAGGUUGAACGGCCACAUUGGGACUGAGAUACGGCCCAGACUCCUACGGGAGGCAGCAGUUGGGAAUAUUGGGCAAUGGGGGAAACCCUGACCCAGCAACGCCGCGUGAAGGAAGAAGGCUUUCGGGUUGUAAACUUCUUUUACCAGGGACGAAGAACGUGACGGUACCUGGAGAAAAAGCCACGGCUAACUACGUGCCAGCAGCCGCGGUAAUACGUAGGUGGCAAGCGUUGUCCGGAUUUACUGGGUGUAAAGGGCGUGUAGGCGGAGCUGCAAGUCAGAUGUGAAAUCUGGGGGCUUAACCCUCAAACUGCAUUUGAAACUGUAGCCCUUGAGUAUCGGAGAGGCAGGCGGAAUUCCUAGUGUAGCGGUGAAAUGCGUAGAUAUUAGGAAGAACACCAGUGGCGAAGGCGGCCUGCUGGACGACAACUGACGCUGAGGCGCGAAAGCGUGGGGAGCAAACAGGAUUAGAUACCCUGGUAGUCCACGCUGUAAACGAUGAAUACUAGGUGUGGGGGGACUGACCCCCUCCGUGCCGGAGUUAACACAAUAAGUAUUCCACCUGGGGAGUACGACCGCAAGGUUGAAACUCAAAGGAAUUGACGGGGGCCCGCACAAGCAGUGGAUUAUGUGGUUUAAUUCGACGCAACGCGAAGAACCUUACCGGGAUUUGACAUCCUACUAACGAAGCAGAGAUGCAUUAGGUGCCCUUCGGGGAAAGUAGAGACAGGUGGUGCAUGGUUGUCGUCAGCUCGUGUCGUGAGAUGUUGGGUUAAGUCCCGCAACGAGCGCAACCCCUAUUGUUAGUUGCUACGCAAGAGCACUCUAGCGAGACUGCCGUUGACAAAACGGAGGAAGGCGGGGACGACGUCAAAUCACCAUGCCCCUUAUGUCCCGGGCUACACACGUAAUACAAUGGCGGUCAACAAAGGGAAGCAAAGCCGCGAGGCAGAGCAAACCCCCAAAAGCCGUCUCAGUUCGGAUUGCAGGCUGCAACUCGCCUGCAUGAAGCUGGAAUUGCUAGUAAUCGUGGAUCAGAAUGCCACGGUGAAUACGUUCCCGGGCCUUGUACACACCGCCCGUCACACCAUGAGAGUCGGGAACACCCGAAGUCCGUAGUCUAACCCGCAAGGGAGGGCGCGGCCGAAGGUGGGUCUGAUAAUUGGGGUGAAGUCGUAACAAGGUA